GGCCGGUUAGCUCAGUUGGUUAGAGCGUGGUGCUAAUAACGCCAAGGUCACGGGUUCAACCCUCGUACGGGCCA
Molecule: transfer RNA, 74 nt
Filed under: Merluccius polli (Benguela hake)
Lineage: Eukaryota; Metazoa; Chordata; Actinopteri; Gadiformes; Merlucciidae
Rfam family: tRNA
About the family: Transfer RNA (tRNA) molecules are approximately 80 nucleotides in length.
Source: Rfam by way of RNAcentral